Molecule: long non-coding RNA, 897 nt
Organism: Mandrillus leucophaeus (drill)
Lineage: Eukaryota; Metazoa; Chordata; Mammalia; Primates; Cercopithecidae
Exons: 4
Source: RefSeq, a predicted model, not a curated record
AGGUCUGCCCAUGGGCACAGGCCAUUGGUCUCAACUACGUAUGGUUUGCCCUGUAAUGCCUUCCGAAAGGCCAGCUGAAAAGAUUGAUAGUCGAGAGCAGAGGACCUGAGGCACCUGAUCCACAGACCAGACACUCAGGAGGCUUCUUUGUCCUUCUGAAGUACAGGCCAAGUUUUGGUGUUCAUCAAAUGAGUGACAGGCUAUCACAUCUACUGCAAAAAUAUAUGGCACUUCCCUCUCCACCUCCACAGUGGGCGGUGAAAAUUAAUUGAGUUCAGGCUGUGAAAAACUUAAGCUGCUAUAUGAAAUGCAAAAUCAUUAAGCAUCAGAGGUUGUAAUAUUCUGCUUGUGGCCUUGGGACUGAAACACCAGAUGUUGUGCCCAAUAAUGACUUCACUUCUCAUCCAGCUUCAAUAACUCAAGAUUGAGUGCAUUUGGGGUUUUGACCUUGCACUGCUAUACCGAGAUUCAGCAGAGGCUAACUACCCCCAAGACUCCUUCCAGAGAACUGGGACCUCAGGAUCAUCUUCAACAUCUUCACAGAGAGUAUGGAGACAAAGCCCUUGCCACAGAGACCCACCAUGCCACAACACCAGGUGGAGACGCACCAUUGCUUGAGUUGGUCCACCAUGAAAGUUGCCAUAGAAGCCUGAAGUUACCACAGCUUAUAAGGAAGUGGUUAUUGAUUAUGAUGGAUGAAGAAAGUGGCAAAUGUGGCUGAAAGUGGACAUUUUUGCUUUGACAACUCCAUCUGCUCCUCCUCUAUGAAAGCUCCAUCUAGGGCCGGGUACAGUGGCUCAUGUCUGUAAUCAACACUUUGGGAGGCCAAGAGAUGCCCAGGUCCCAAAGGUAGUAUUUCCAUGAUUUGAUGGGUUGCUGCUGCACCUGUCUGAUUUG